Molecule: ribosomal RNA, 253 nt
Filed under: uncultured bacterium
Lineage: Bacteria
Description: partial 16S ribosomal RNA
Rfam family: Bacterial small subunit ribosomal RNA
Source: RNAcentral
UACGAAGGGUGCAAGCGUUACUCGGAAUUACUGGGCGUAAAGCGUGCGUAGGUGGUUCGUUAAGUCUGAUGUGAAAGCCCUGGGCUCAACCUGGGAAUGGCAUUGGAAACUGGCGACCUAGAGUGCGGUAGGGGGUAGUGGAAUUCCCGGUGUAGCAGUGAAAUGCGUAGAGAUCGGGAGGAACAUCCGUGGCGAAGGCGACUACCUGGACCAGCACUGACACUGAGGCACGAAAGCGUGGGGAGCAAACAGG